This is a small nucleolar RNA of Trichoderma harzianum, 223 nucleotides long. It matches the Rfam family "Small nucleolar RNA snR191". Lineage: Eukaryota; Fungi; Ascomycota; Sordariomycetes; Hypocreales; Hypocreaceae. The record is from Rfam.
CCCCAAUGAUUCCUGUCAGGACACCUCGCAUACUCUCCGUGGAGGACCGUCUGUUACAACAUUGGGAGAUCCAUUGCCAUCUCGACUGUCUCAGCUUCGGCUGCAGGCUGAUAGGUGCCGUUUUGGUUACUUAUCAAGAGAAGGCUGUGCGUCUGAUGAGUUGAAGCCUUCCCUCGCCUUUACCGGCAUCCAAAGGAGCUUCGUAGUGAUGACACACACAUUU